Molecule: transfer RNA, 72 nt
Filed under: Pelodiscus sinensis (Chinese soft-shelled turtle)
Lineage: Eukaryota; Metazoa; Chordata; Testudines; Trionychidae
Rfam family: tRNA
About the family: Transfer RNA (tRNA) molecules are approximately 80 nucleotides in length. Their secondary structure includes four short double-helical elements and three loops (D, anti-codon, and T loops).
Source: Rfam by way of RNAcentral
UCUCUGGUGGUCUAGUGGCUAGAAUUCAGCACUUUCACUGCUGAGACCUGAGGUUAAUUCCCCAUCAGGGAA